RNAcentral lists this non-coding RNA (218 nucleotides) under Anolis carolinensis (green anole). Its description in RNAcentral is "Eukaryotic large subunit ribosomal RNA". It matches the Rfam family "Eukaryotic large subunit ribosomal RNA", at positions 2583 to 2811 of the family's 3401-position model. The record is from Rfam by way of RNAcentral. Lineage: Eukaryota; Metazoa; Chordata; Lepidosauria; Squamata; Anolidae.
GACUCCAUAGCACUGAGUCAUAGAAGUUAAAGUGGAGUCAAACUACAUUAAUUCUAUAGUACAGAUGCAUUCUAAGACAAACUCAAGGAGCAGAGAAACUUCCCAUGGAGCAGGAGGGGAAAAGCUCACUUUAUCUUGAUUUUCAGUAUGAUACAGACUAUGAAAGUAGGCCUUACAAUCCUUUUCUUGUUUGGAGUUUUAAACAGAAGGUGUCAGAA